UUCAAGGGAUUCUCUUGCCUCAGCCUCCCAUGCCCAGCUAAUUUUUCUAGUACAUGCGAGUAGCUGGGACUACAGGCAUGUGCCACCAUGCCCAGCUAAUUUUUCUAUUUUUUAGUAGAGAUGAGGGUUUGUCAUGUUGACCAGGCUGGUCCUGAACCUCUGACCUCAGGUGAUCUGCCCACCUCAGCCUCCCAAAGUGCUGAGAUUACAGGCUUGAUCCACCAUGCCCGGCCCAGAAUUAUUUAUUUAUGAAAGGGCAGAGGCUUGUUUAAAACUACUUAAGGAAUUUUUCAAAAUAAAGUGCUGAAGCCACAUUCUUUAGGAUUUUAAUUGUGUUAUACGAGGUGCAAAAUAAUUUUUAAACAUUUUUCAAAAUAUGAAGUAGAUCAAUUCACUAGAGACAGUAUGAAUAUGCAGAAAGAGAAAAAUUAAAAUAUCCAAAAUAUCACCAACAAGGAUAACCUUUGUUUUUGCCGUCUGUUUUUGUUAUAUUUUAGGGGGGUUGCUUUUGAGACAGCAUCUCACUGUGUUCCAUAGGUUGUGUAGUGGCACAACCACAGCUCACUGCAACCACAACCUUCCAGGUUCAAGGGUGCCUCCCACGUCAGCCUCCCAAGUAGCUCAGACCACAGAGAAAUGUCUGUUGGCCGGGCACAGUGACUCACACCUGUAAUCCAAGCACUUUGGAGGUCAAGGUGGGAGGAUCACCUGAGGUUGGGAGUUCAAGACCAGCCUGACCAACAUGGUGAAACCCUGUCUUUAAAUAAAUAAAUAAAAAUUUUAAAAAGAGGGAAAUGUCUGUUAAUUACCUUUGUCCAU
Molecule: long non-coding RNA, 819 nt
Filed under: Callithrix jacchus (white-tufted-ear marmoset)
Lineage: Eukaryota; Metazoa; Chordata; Mammalia; Primates; Cebidae
Description: lncRNA (ENSCJAG00000087019.1)
Source: RNAcentral